AUACGGAAGGUCCGGGCGUUAUCCGGAUUUAUUGGGUUUAAAGGGAGCGCAGGCGGAGAUGCAAGCGUGACGUCAAAUUUCGGGGCUCAACCCCGUCUCGCGUCGCGAACUGCGUCCCUUGGUUGCGGGAAGGGGAGGCGGAACUCGGGGUGUAGCGGGGAAAUGCAUAGAUAUCACGAAGAACUCCGAUCGCGAAGGCAGCCUUCCGGCCCGUCAACGACGCUCAUGCUCGAAGGUGCGGGUAUCAAGCAGGAUUAGAUACCCUGGUAGUCCGCACAGUAAACGAUGGACACCCGCGGUUUGGCCUAUAUGGCUGAGCCGCCAAGCGAAAGCGUUAAGUGUCCCACCUGGGGAGUACGCCGGCAACGGUGAAACUCAAAGGAAUUGGCGGGG
This 393-nucleotide ribosomal RNA is filed under the name uncultured bacterium. RNAcentral's name for it is "partial 16S ribosomal RNA". It matches the Rfam family "Bacterial small subunit ribosomal RNA", at positions 523 to 918 of the family's 1533-position model. The record is from RNAcentral.